CCUACGGGGUGCUGCAGUGGGGAAUAUUGGACAAUGGGGGCAACCCUGAUCCAGCCAUGCCGCGUGUGUGAAGAAGGCCCUCGGGUUGUAAAGCACUUUCAGUGAGGAAGAACGCCUGGUGGUUAAUACCCAUCAGGAAAGACAUCACUCACAGAAGAAGCACCGGCUAACUCCGUGCCAGCAGCCGCGGUAAUACGGAGGGUGCGAGCGUUAAUCGGAAUUACUGGGCGUAAAGCGCGCGUAGGUGGCUUGAUAAGCCGGUUGUGAAAGCCCCGGGAUCAACCUGGGAACGGCAUCCGGAACUGUCAAGCUAGAGUGCAGGAGAGGAAGGUAGAAUUCCCGGUGUAGCGGUGAAAUGCGUAGAGAUCGGGAGGAAUACCAGUGGCGAAGGCGGCCUUCUGGACUGACACUGACACUGAGGUGCGAAAGCGUGGGUAGCAAACAGGAUUAGAUACCCGAGUAGUC
This 465-nucleotide ribosomal RNA is filed under the name Vreelandella stevensii. Its description in RNAcentral is "partial 16S ribosomal RNA". It matches the Rfam family "Bacterial small subunit ribosomal RNA", at positions 338 to 795 of the family's 1533-position model. The record is from RNAcentral. Lineage: Bacteria; Pseudomonadati; Pseudomonadota; Gammaproteobacteria; Oceanospirillales; Halomonadaceae.